UACGAAGGGUGCAAGCGUUACUCGGAAUUACUGGGCGUAAAGCGUGCGUAGGUGGUUUGUUAAGUCUGUUGUGAAAGCCCCGGGCUCAACCUGGGAAUGGCAAUGGAUACUGGCAGGCUAGAGUGCGGUAGAGGGUAGUGGAAUUCCCGGUGUAGCGGUGAAAUGCGUAGAGAUCGGGAGGAACACCAGUGGCGAAGGCGACUUUCUGGUCUAUAACUGACACUGAGGCGCGAAAGCGUGGGGAGCAAACAGG
RNAcentral lists this ribosomal RNA (253 nucleotides) under uncultured bacterium. RNAcentral describes it as "partial 16S ribosomal RNA". It matches the Rfam family "Bacterial small subunit ribosomal RNA", at positions 524 to 776 of the family's 1533-position model. The record is from RNAcentral.